This 775-nucleotide ribosomal RNA is filed under the name uncultured Glomus. Its description in RNAcentral is "SSU rRNA". It matches the Rfam family "Eukaryotic small subunit ribosomal RNA", at positions 338 to 1114 of the family's 1831-position model. Lineage: Eukaryota; Fungi; Glomeromycota; Glomeromycetes; Glomerales; Glomeraceae. The record is from RNAcentral.
GGCCUACCAUGGUGGUAACGGGUAACGGGGUGUUAGGGCACGACACCGGAGAGGGAGCCUGAGAAACGGCUACCACAUCCAAGGAUGGCAGCAGGCGCGCAAGUUACCCAAUCCCGACACGGGGAGGUAGUGACAAUAAAUAACAAUACGGGGUUCUUUCGGAUUUCGUAAUUGGAAUGAGUACAAUUUAAAUCUCUUAACGAGGAACAAUUGGAGGGCAAGUCUGGUGCCAGCAGCCGCGGUAAUUCCAGCUCCAAUAGCGUAUAUUAAAGUUGUUGCAGUUAAAAAGCUCGUAGUUGAAUUUCGGGAUCGACGGGUCGGUCGCGCCUCUGGUGUGUACUGGCCCUGUCGGUUUCUCCCUUCUGACGAACCACGAUGUCAUUAAUUUGGUGUCGUGGGGAAUCAGGACUGUUACUUUGAAAAAAUUAGAGUGUUUAAAGCAGGCAUUCGCUUGAAUACAUUAGCAUGGAAUAAUGAAAUAGGACGUUUGAUCUUAUUUUGUUGGUUUCUAAGAUCGACGUAAUGAUUAAUAGGGAUAGUUGGGGGCAUUAGUAUUCAAUUGUCAGAGGUGAAAUUCUUGGAUUUAUUGAAGACUAACUACUGCAAAAGCAUUUGCCAAGGAUGUUUUCAUUAAUCAAGAACGAAAGUUAGGGGAUCGAAGACGAUCAGAUACCGUCGUAGUCUUAACCAUAAACUAUGCCGACUAGGGAUCGGAUGAUGUUAAUUUUUUAAUGACUCAUUCGGCGCCUUACGGGAAACCAAAGUGUUUGGGUUC